Molecule: ribosomal RNA, 249 nt
Filed under: uncultured bacterium
Lineage: Bacteria
Description: partial 16S ribosomal RNA
Rfam family: Bacterial small subunit ribosomal RNA
Source: RNAcentral
UAGGGGGCAAGCGUUGUCCGGAUUUAUUGGGCGUAAAGAGCGUGUAGGCGGCCAUACAGGUCAGCUGUGAAAACUCGAGGCUCAACCUCGAGACGUCGGUUGAAACCGUAUGGCUAGAGUCCGGAAGAGGAGAGUGGAAUUCCCGGUGUAGCGGUGAAAUGCGCAGAUAUCGGGAAGAACACCCGUGGCGAAGGCGGCUCUCUGGGACGGUACUGACGCUGAGACGCGAAAGCGUGGGGAGCGAACAGG